GAUGAACGCUAGCGGGAGGCUUAACACAUGCAAGUCGAGGGGCAGCAUUGGUACUUGUACCAGAUGGCGACCGGCGGACGGGUGCGUAACGCGUAUGCAACCUACCUUAUGCUUGGGAAUAGCCCAUGGAAACGUGGAUUAAUACCCUAUAGUACUAUAAAGCUUCAUGGCUUAAUAGUUAAAGCUUCGGCGGCAUAAGAUGGGCAUGCGUCUGAUUAGCUAGAUGGUGAGGUAACUGCUCACCAUGGCGACGAUCAGUAGGGGGCCUGAGAGGGUGACCCCCCACACUGGUACUGAGACACGGACCAG
This 309-nucleotide ribosomal RNA is filed under the name uncultured bacterium. RNAcentral describes it as "bacterial SSU rRNA". It matches the Rfam family "Bacterial small subunit ribosomal RNA", at positions 28 to 334 of the family's 1533-position model. The record is from RNAcentral.